Molecule: ribosomal RNA, 254 nt
Filed under: uncultured bacterium
Lineage: Bacteria
Description: partial 16S ribosomal RNA
Rfam family: Bacterial small subunit ribosomal RNA
Source: RNAcentral
CACGUAGGGAGCAAGCGUUGUCCGGAUUUAUUGGGCGUAAAGAGCUCGUAGGUGGUUCGGUAAGUCAGGUGUGAAACCUCCAGGCUCAACCUGGAGACGCCACUUGAUACUGCUGUGACUGGAGUCCGGUAGGGGAGCGUGGAAUUCCUGGUGUAGCGGUGAAAUGCGCAGAUAUCAGGAGGAACACCAGCGGCGAAGGCGGCGCUCUGGGCCGGUACUGACACUGAGGAGCGAAAGCGUGGGUAGCAAACAGG